UACGUAGGGUGCAAGCGUUGCCCGGAAUUAUUGGGCGUAAAGAGCUCGUAGGCGGUUUGUCGCGUCUGCUGUGAAAACUCGGGGCUUAACUCCGGGCCUGCAGUGGGUACGGGCAGACUAGAGUGCGGUAGGGGAGACUGGAAUUCCUGGUGUAGCGGUGAAAUGCGCAGAUAUCAGGAGGAACACCGGUGGCGAAGGCGGGUCUCUGGGCCGUAACUGACGCUGAGGAGCGAAAGCGUGGGGAGCGAACAGG
RNAcentral lists this ribosomal RNA (253 nucleotides) under uncultured bacterium. RNAcentral describes it as "partial 16S ribosomal RNA". It matches the Rfam family "Bacterial small subunit ribosomal RNA", at positions 524 to 776 of the family's 1533-position model. The record is from RNAcentral.